UGGGGAAUAUUGCACAAUGGGGGAAACCCUGAUGCAGCGACGCCGCGUGGAGGAAGAAGGUCUUCGGAUUGUAAACUCCUGUUGUUGAGGAAGAUAAUGACGGUACUCAACAAGGAAGUGACGGCUAACUACGUGCCAGCAGCCGCGGUAAAACGUAGGGUGCAAGCGUUGUCCGGAAUUACUGGGUGUAAAGGGAGCGCAGGCGGACCGGCAAGUUGGAAGUGAAAACUAUGGGCUCAACCCAUAAAUUGCUUUCAAAACUGCUGGCCUUGAGUAGUGCAGAGGUAGGUGGAAUUCCCGGUGUAGCGGUGGAAUGCGUAGAUAUCGGGAGGAACACCAGUGGCGAAGGCGACCUACUGGGCACCAACUGACGCUGAGGCUCGAAAGCAUGGGUAGCAAACAGGAUUAGAUACCCUGGUAGUCCAUGCCGUAAACGAUGAUUACUAGGUGUUGGAGGAUUGACCCCUUCAGUGCCGCAGUUAACACAAUAAGUAAUCCACCUGGGGAGUACGACCGCAAGGUUGAAACUCAAAGGAAUUGACGGGGGCCCGCACAAGCAGUGGAGUAUGUGGUUUAAUUCGAAGCAACGCGAAGAACCUUACCAGGUCUUGACAUCCGAUGCAUAGUGCAGAGAUGCAUGAAGUACUUCGGGACAUCGAGACAGGUGGUGCAUGGUUGUCGUCAGCUCGUGUCGUGAGAUGUUGGGUUAAGUCCCGCAACGAGCGCAACCCUUAUUGCCAGUUACUACGCAAGAGGACUCUGGCGAGACUGCCGUUGACAAAACGGAGGAAGGUGGGGAUGACGUCAAAUCAUCAUGCCCUUUAUGACCUGGGCUACACACGUACUACAAUGGCGUUUAACAAAGAGAAGCAAGACCGCGAGGUGGAGCAAAACUCAAAAACAACGUCUCAGUUCAGAUUGCAGGCUGCAACUCGCCUGCAUGAAGUCGGAAUUGCUAGUAAUCGCGGAUCAGCAUGCCGCGGUGAAUACGUUCCC
Molecule: ribosomal RNA, 996 nt
Filed under: uncultured bacterium
Lineage: Bacteria
Description: bacterial SSU rRNA
Rfam family: Bacterial small subunit ribosomal RNA
Source: RNAcentral